This 21-nucleotide non-coding RNA is filed under the name Caenorhabditis elegans. The record is from RNAcentral. Lineage: Eukaryota; Metazoa; Nematoda; Chromadorea; Rhabditida; Rhabditidae.
UUCAAACAUCAAAUAAUGAAC